GGUGUUGACGUAUCUUAGUGGUUAGAGCAUCCUCCUCGGAUGCGGGAGGUCGUGGGUUCGCUUCCCAGAUGAGUGAUACCA
Molecule: non-coding RNA, 81 nt
Organism: Potamilus streckersoni
Lineage: Eukaryota; Metazoa; Mollusca; Bivalvia; Unionida; Unionidae
Source: the annotation of a GenBank genome assembly